AACGAACGCUGGCGGCAGGCCUAACACAUGCAAGUCGAGCGAGGACUUCGGUUCUAGCGGCGGACGGGUGAGUAACGCGUGGGAAUGUGCCCUUCUCUACGGAAUAGCCCUGGGAAACUGGGAGUAAUACCGUAUACGCCCUAUUGGGGAAAGAUUUAUCGGAGAAGGAUCAGCCCGCGUUGGAGUAGGUAGUUGGUGGGGUAAUGGCCUACCAAGCCGACGAUCCAUAGCUGGUUUGAGAGGAUGAUCAGCCACACUGGGACGGAGACACGGCCCAGACUCCUACGGGAGGCAGCAGUGGGGAAUCUUAGACAAUGGGGGCAACCCUGAUCUAGCCAUGCCGCGUGAGUGAUGAAGGCCUUAGGGUUGUAAAGCUCUGUCAGCUGGGAAGAUAAUGACGGUACCAGCAGAAGAAGCCCCGGCUAACUCCGUG
RNAcentral lists this ribosomal RNA (433 nucleotides) under uncultured bacterium. Its description in RNAcentral is "partial 16S ribosomal RNA". It matches the Rfam family "Bacterial small subunit ribosomal RNA", at positions 29 to 507 of the family's 1533-position model. The record is from RNAcentral.